AAAAGGCUCAAGUGUGGUAUGUGUUGUGAUACCAGAACCUGGGAGGCAGAAGCCAAAGAAUCAGUGAUUCAAGGCCAGGCUGAGCUAUAUGGUAAGGUAAAAUCAGCUUGAGUGACAGGAGGGCUUGUGUCACAAACAAACAAGCACACCGAGACCAAACAGCGCACAGAAAUAAUGGCCAUACACAGAGGGAGAUAGAGAUGAAAGCUAGAGGGGUGGAAAGGGCCGGGGGAAUGGAUUCUUUGAAGGCACACCUCUAGUGAUCUACUUCCUUAGCUGAACCCUGCAUCCUAAUGACUUGUUCAUAAGUGCCACACGACUACCGAGGAGGGGCACCUUUCAGAUAUAAAAUCUAAAUAAAAACAAACAAACAACUAAAAACAAAAACUACAAGACCAACAGAAAACCCUAGUGGGAGUGGGGAGGAUGUAUCUAUCAAUAAUUAUUUUAAAGGUGAAUAGGUUAGAUUCUCACAUGAGAAGACAAAGUAAACUUUUUUGAAAACAAACAAACAACAAAACAAGACAAAAAACAAAGUGUCUUCAGGAAACUCAAUCUAACCUUAAAGAGAGCACGCAGCAAUGGUAGAAGACUUUAGUAUCUCCUCAGUCAACAUUGGAUAGUAACUGAAGUGAGCUAAGAAACUCCAGAGAAAAGGCAGACAGGCCUGCAACAGCUUAUGCAGGAAGUUAGGACCCCAGAAGAUCCUGUUAAGAUUGUCACACCAACUUCUGCUGAUGCUUACAAUUUUUUAGGCUUUGAGGGAACAACAGAUCUACAGACGGAAUCUCAUUUUUCACCCAAAAGUUCCCUCUUUUGACCUAUAAAUCCCCAAGUCCUCCCUACUUUGAUACACAGUCUCCAGUCACUGUUCUGGUUAAAGGACAAUCUGCUUUGUAGAGAACAGUCUCCUCUUUCCGUUAUUAGCAUGUCACUUUGACCAACCCCAACCUUACAGGCAGAAUAUUCAUACAGAAUGCAGUAAGAAACACAUGGUACCAAAUGGACCCAACAAACGUACAAACCCUGUUCCCAACAGCAUGUUCCAUAGUCUUCCCAGGCAUGCAUGGCUCUUCUGCCAGCACAGAUUGAGUAUUUGUGAACCUCCCAGCUUUUCUUGUUGCUUAUUUCUAGACUCAUUCUAUUGUGGCUGGAAGUGAUAUUUGGUAUGAUGUCAAUCUUCUUGAGUCAAAGAUUUAUUUUGGGAUCUAUAUGUCAUGUAAUAUCUAUAAUCUCCAAGGUAAUGUGUGUGUGUGUGUGUGUUUGUGAAUAUGUGUCUAUGUCUGUAUUUAUGGUAUGUGGAUGGGCACAUGUAUACCACCAAAUGUUGUCGUUGGGUUUUUUGUUAUUUUUCUCUUUUAAUUUUUUUUUCCAUUUUUUAUUAGGUAUUUAACUCAUUUACAUUUCCAAUGCUAUACCAAAAGUCCCCCAUAUCCACCCACCCCCACUCCCCUGCCCACCCACUCCCCCUUUUUGGCCCUGGUAUUCCCCUGUACUGGGGCAUAUAAAGUUUGCAAGUCCAAUGGGCCUCUCUUUCCAGUGAUGGCCGACUAGGCCAUCUUUUGAUAUAUAUGCAGCUAGAGUCAAGAGCUCCGGGGUACUGGUUAGCUCAUAAUGUUGUUCCACCUAUAGGGUUGCAGAUCCCUUUAGCUCCUUGGCUACUUUCUCUAGCUCCUCCAUUGGGAGCCCUAUGAUCCAUCCAUUAGCUGACUGUGAGCAUCCACUUCUGUGUUUGCUGGGCCCCGGCAUAGUCUCACAAGAGACAGCUACAUCUGCGUCCUUUCAAUAAAAUCUUGCUAGUGUAUGCAAUGGUGUCAGCGUUUGGAUGCUGAUUAUUCUCUUUUAAUUUUAAUUCAAUUGUUUUCCCCCAUCUCUCUCUCUCUCUCUCUCACUCUCUCUCUCUCUCUCUCUCUCUCUCUCACACACACACACACACACACAGAGAGAGAGAGAGAGAGAGAGAGAUUGAUUUUCCACUGAUACACUUGGAAGACGGAACAAAAUGCAUUCUCAAUGUAUAGUAAUGUAUUCAGUAGCUAGUAUGAUUUCAGUAAAUAAAGUUACAUUUGUAUCAGUUCUGAAUUCACAGCGUCAGGAUGAGAAGUCAUCAGUGAAUGGAUCUCUGUCUCUAGGCACUUUUUCCUACUCAUUCCCUCUGCAUAGCGCUGCUAGCAAAGUGUCGUUUCCAUUUAGAACUUCCCACGCCAUCUCCUUUUUGAGCAGAACAGUGUCAAGGUUCUCAUGAAGACAGGACAUAAUGGAUAGAAUUUUGAGUAGGUCCUCUUCUUCCAUUGUGAGUUUCCGUGAUCGAACUCAGAUUGUCAGGCUUCCAGGACAAAUGCUUUCAUCAGCUGGGCAGCCUUGCCAGCCAGAAGCUCCUCCAGGAUCGGGUGUCCUGGCUUCCUGACCUAGACGGUGGAGCUUGGCUGCCAGACAGCUGGGAACCAUCUGCCACCACAUUCCACCUUCAUUAGAGAGUGUAUGGGCAUGCAGGUGCAUGAAUAAGAAGCCAAAUGUCAACCUCAGACACCGCUCUUCAGAAUGCUACCCACUUUGCUUUUUGAGACAAGGUCUUUCUUGGGCCUGGAAAUGGAUAAUCCAGUUAAAGUGAUGCUUAGUGGACCCUGGGGACCUUACUAUAUCUACCUGUCCAGCAUUGGUAUCAUAAAUCCAUCCUAGACCCUCCAUGCCACUACUGAAGAGACCGACUCAGGGCUGGGGAGAUGGCAAAGUCCACAAAGAACUUUCCAUACCAGCUUGAGGACCUGAAUUUGAAUACCCAGAACUUAAGUAAAACUCCAACAGCACUUAGGUACAGUAUCAGGAGGAUCCCUGGGGCUCACUGGCCUAGCCUACUUGAUAAGCACCAGGCCACUGAUGGACCCUGUA
Mus musculus (house mouse) is the source of this 2889-nucleotide long non-coding RNA. RefSeq annotates it as predicted gene, 41940. Lineage: Eukaryota; Metazoa; Chordata; Mammalia; Rodentia; Muridae. The transcript is spliced from 4 exons. The record is from RefSeq and is a predicted model, not a curated record.